CCGCCUCCGGGUCCUCUGUUCUCGCCUCUAGGAAGUUCGGUCCCAGCAGCACGCACCACUUCGUUCCACUUCAGGGGAAGGCAUAGUGACAGGGACUCAAACGGGCAGUCGCCAGUCUGUGUGCGCCCUCGAGGAAUCCUUCAUGGAAGUCUUAAGUUGUUCCCUUGCUCGCACACACUGGGAUCAGUUUGCCUAGCGCGAUGGCAGAGCGGUAAAAAUAUUCAUCUUGCCCGGCUACAAAUACCACCUUGUCCAGAAAUGCUUCCGUCUGUGAUAUAGUGUGCCCACUCAAAGGACAGCGGGACUUUCUAAAUCUGGAACUCUACAACUGCCUUCUGGGAGCCAAAGACUGUAGUACAAGCUUGGGUGACAUUUGGUAGACUUAGGAGGGAGUCCACGGGAGACUCCACUAUGUACUAGGCACCUUGCCUGUGCAGUCUGCUCUCAGUCAACAUUCUGUAAGAGCCCCGUGGUGAAACAGGAGCCUAGAUUCGAGGACUAUGACCACGUCAAGACAAGACUUAUGCCGAGAAAAGACGUUCUGCCUCUCUGUUGGGGUACCGUUCCAGUCUUCUUUUCCUUUGAAAUGGGGUCGCACUGAAUCACCAGGUUGGCCUUGGGUUUGUAAUCCUCCUGCUGUAGCCUUCUGAGGAACUGAAAAUACAAACCUGCACCCACAGGACCAACCCAUGAGAUCUAAGUUACAGGAGUUGCCAUGGUCAGGGGCUGGAGAGAUUCCUCAGUGGUUAAGAGCACUGGGUUCAAUUCCCAGAACCCACAUGUCAGCUCACCACAGCCUGCAACUCUAUCUCCAGGAAUUCCGACACCUUCAGAAAGAUACAUGUGUAGGCAAAAUGUCAAUGCACAAAUAUAAAUAAAGGUUUAAAAAAAA
This 892-nucleotide small RNA is filed under the name Rattus norvegicus (Norway rat). RNAcentral describes it as "uncharacterized LOC103690858". The record is from RNAcentral. Lineage: Eukaryota; Metazoa; Chordata; Mammalia; Rodentia; Muridae.